UACCUAUUCAUAAGGUUCACGUGACGUCACUGUAGCUUUGCGCCGCCAUCUUGACGACCGAUCCCACCCACUGACCCACUGAUUUCAGUGGUAACUCAGCACCAACAACAACACCUACGACCACAAUCAAACAAUGAGGAUGCGCUCUUUUAUUCUCUUUAGUGCAGGUAAUGAAAGGUGAAAAAAAAUGAGCCAAAUACCCGAGAAAGGACUAAUAAUUCAAAUUUCGGUGUCACCCACUCUAUUUCAUCCUUAAGCCCAGUUCAGACCAAAGAUUCACCUUGCAACGAGACGGUUUUAGAACGUCGCAGGGGCGGUGUGAACAGGUCGUUGCAAGCCGUUGCAAGGAGUUGCAAGGCGUCUCAAGGAGUUGCAAGGAGUCGCCAGAGAUUGAACAUGUCAAAUCGCAAGGUCCAGUUUUAGAACGCGGCGAUUUAACUAUUCCUCUUCAGCCAAUCACAGCACAGAACAACUUGUACGUCACGGCCUUACUCCGUCCCGGUACCGUACUGUCCACUCCAGCAUAAAUAGAUCCGAAGAUGGCAGACUUCUGGUCCGAGGAGAGGGAAGAGAAAUUAAUUUGGUUGCUGGAGGAUCAACCUGUCCUAUACGACGUUGGCAGCAAGGGGUACAGCAACAGGGACAGCAAGAGGAGAGCGUGUUGUGAAAUUGCGGUGGCAAUUGGUGUAUCCGAUUGUUGAAAGAGAGAAUGAUGUGGAGGGACUGGACGAGGAAGAGGACGUGGAAGUAGAGGAGAGCAGUGAACCUGAGGGACAAGGCAGCACCUGCCUUGUCCCUCAGGUUCAGACGCAGGCGUCUAAUCGUUCUGUCGCAGGCGGUAAAAGAAAGAGGCAAACAGAAAAGCAAGAUGAGGUCCUAACUGCAGUUGGCAAUUUUCUGAGAAACAGGACGGAACAGAGGGAGGAGGACACAAUGUCAGUCUUUUGUAAGAACCUCGAGAUGAAAAUGAGGCGAAUCAAGGACCCAAAUAUUUGAUUCGAUUUAGAGCACCAGCUAGAGGAAGCCUGCUACCAGGCUUCACUUAAAGAUAGAGACAACCAAGCCCCCCCCCCCCCAAGCCUCUCACAUCUCUUAAUUUGUUUUAUUCAUUUUUAGAUAUUUAAUUGGUUAUUGCAAAUUUGAAUUGCCCCUUCUCUUACCUUCGCCUCAUUUU
This 1174-nucleotide long non-coding RNA is filed under the name Gadus morhua (Atlantic cod). RNAcentral's name for it is "lncRNA (ENSGMOG00000035148.1)". The record is from RNAcentral. Lineage: Eukaryota; Metazoa; Chordata; Actinopteri; Gadiformes; Gadidae.